This 292-nucleotide ribosomal RNA is filed under the name uncultured bacterium. RNAcentral's name for it is "partial 16S ribosomal RNA". It matches the Rfam family "Bacterial small subunit ribosomal RNA", at positions 505 to 796 of the family's 1533-position model. The record is from RNAcentral.
GUGCCAGCCGCCGCGGUAAGACGAACCGUCCUAACGUUGUUCGGAAUCACUGGGCUUAAAGGGCGCGUAGGCGGGUCAGCAAGUCCGGGGUGAAAUCUUUCGGCUCAACCGGAAAAUAGCCUUGGAUACUGCUGGUCUCGAGGGGGGUAGGGGCAGCUGGAACUUCCGGUGGAGCGGUGAAACGCGUUGAUAUCGGAAGGAACGCCGGUGGCGAAAGCGAGCUGCUGGACCCUCUCUGACGCUGAGGCGCGAAAGCUAGGGGAGCAAACGGGAUUAGAUACCCUGGUAGUCC